Molecule: ribosomal RNA, 422 nt
Filed under: uncultured prokaryote
Description: bacterial SSU rRNA
Rfam family: Bacterial small subunit ribosomal RNA
Source: RNAcentral
UGAGGAAUAUUGGUCAAUGGGCGGAAGCCUGAACCAGCCAUGCCGCGUGCAGGACGACGGCCCUACGGGUUGUAAACUGCUUUUCCGGGGGAAGAAUAAGGGCGACGCGUCGCCCGAUGCCGGUACCCCGGGAAUAAGGAUCGGCUAACUCCGUGCCAGCAGCCGCGGUAAUACGGAGGAUCCGAGCGUUAUCCGGAUUUACUGGGUUUAAAGGGUGCGUAGGCGGGCCCCUCAGUCAGCGGUGAAAGACUGCGGCUCAACCGUAGGAUUGCCGUUGAUACUGGGGGCCUUGGAUUCGGUCGAGGCGGGCGGAAUGCGUGGUGUAGCGGUGAAAUGCUUAGAUAUCACGCAGAACGCCGAUUGCGAAGGCAGCUUACUUGUCCAUUAUUGACGCUGAGGCACGAAAGCGGGGGGAUCGAACA